RNAcentral lists this ribosomal RNA (513 nucleotides) under uncultured bacterium. RNAcentral's name for it is "bacterial SSU rRNA". It matches the Rfam family "Bacterial small subunit ribosomal RNA", at positions 34 to 518 of the family's 1533-position model. The record is from RNAcentral.
CGCUGGCGGCGUGCCUAAUACAUGCAAGUCGAACGGUCUUUCUAUGGAAGCUUGCUUCCGACUGAGAAGAUAGUGGCGAACGGGUGAGUAACACGUGGGUAACCUGCCCAUAAGAGGGGGAUAACAUCCGGAAACGGGUGCUAAUACCGCAUAGUUUUCUUGAUCGCAUGAUCGGGAAAGGAAAGACGGCCUUUGUGCUGUCGCUUAUGGAUGGACCCGCGGCGUAUUAGUUAGUUGGUGAGGUAACGGCUCACCAAGACGAUGAUACGUAGCCGACCUGAGAGGGUGAUCGGCCACAUUGGGACUGAGACACGGCCCAAACUCCUACGGGAGGCAGCAGUAGGGAAUCUUCCGCAAUGGACGAAAGUCUGACGGAGCAACGCCGCGUGAGUGAAGAAGGUUUUCGGGAAUCGUAAAACUCUGUUGUCAGAGAAGAACAAGUUGGAGAGUAACUGCUCCAGCCUUGACGGUAUCUGACCAGAAAGCCACAGCUAACUACGUGCCAGCAGCAGC